RNAcentral lists this ribosomal RNA (887 nucleotides) under Escherichia coli. RNAcentral's name for it is "partial 23S ribosomal RNA". It matches the Rfam family "Bacterial large subunit ribosomal RNA", at positions 614 to 1506 of the family's 2925-position model. The record is from RNAcentral. Lineage: Bacteria; Pseudomonadati; Pseudomonadota; Gammaproteobacteria; Enterobacterales; Enterobacteriaceae.
AAUGGGUCAGCGACUUAUAUUCUGUAGCAAGGUUAACCGAAUAGGGGAGCCGAAGGGAAACCGAGUCUUAACUGGGCGUUAAGUUGCAGGGUAUAGACCCGAAACCCGGUGAUCUAGCCAUGGGCAGGUUGAAGGUUGGGUAACACUAACUGGAGGACCGAACCGACUAAUGUUGAAAAAUUAGCGGAUGACUUGUGGCUGGGGGUGAAAGGCCAAUCAAACCGGGAGAUAGCUGGUUCUCCCCGAAAGCUAUUUAGGUAGCGCCUCGUGAAUUCAUCUCCGGGGGUAGAGCACUGUUUCGGCAAGGGGGUCAUCCCGACUUACCAACCCGAUGCAAACUGCGAAUACCGGAGAAUGUUAUCACGGGAGACACACGGCGGGUGCUAACGUCCGUCGUGAAGAGGGAAACAACCCAGACCGCCAGCUAAGGUCCCAAAGUCAUGGUUAAGUGGGAAACGAUGUGGGAAGGCCCAGACAGCCAGGAUGUUGGCUUAGAAGCAGCCAUCAUUUAAAGAAAGCGUAAUAGCUCACUGGUCGAGUCGGCCUGCGCGGAAGAUGUAACGGGGCUAAACCAUGCACCGAAGCUGCGGCAGCGACACUAUGUGUUGUUGGGUAGGGGAGCGUUCUGUAAGCCUGUGAAGGUGUACUGUGAGGUAUGCUGGAGGUAUCAGAAGUGCGAAUGCUGACAUAAGUAACGAUAAAGCGGGUGAAAAGCCCGCUCGCCGGAAGACCAAGGGUUCCUGUCCAACGUUAAUCGGGGCAGGGUGAGUCGACCCCUAAGGCGAGGCCGAAAGGCGUAGUCGAUGGGAAACAGGUUAAUAUUCCUGUACUUGGUGUUACUGCGAAGGGGGGACGGAGAAGGCUAUGUUGGCCGGGCGACGGUUGUC